UACGUAGGUGACAAGCGUUGUCCGGAUUUACUGGGCGUAAAGAGCGCGCAGGCGGUCGAUCAAGUCGAGUGUGAAAGCCCCCCGGCUCAACUGGGGAGGGUCAUUCGAUACUGAUCGACUCGAAGGCAGGAGAGGGUAGUGGAAUUCCCGGUGUAGUGGUGAAAUGCGUAGAUAUCGGGAGGAACACCUGAGGCGAAGGCGGGCUACUGGGCCGAUACUGACGCUGAUGUGCGAAAGCCAGGGGAGCGAACGGG
This 254-nucleotide ribosomal RNA is filed under the name uncultured bacterium. RNAcentral describes it as "partial 16S ribosomal RNA". It matches the Rfam family "Bacterial small subunit ribosomal RNA", at positions 524 to 776 of the family's 1533-position model. The record is from RNAcentral.